Molecule: transfer RNA, 75 nt
Filed under: Halomonadaceae bacterium
Lineage: Bacteria; Pseudomonadati; Pseudomonadota; Gammaproteobacteria; Oceanospirillales; Halomonadaceae
Description: tRNA-His
Rfam family: tRNA
About the family: Transfer RNA (tRNA) molecules are approximately 80 nucleotides in length. Their secondary structure includes four short double-helical elements and three loops (D, anti-codon, and T loops).
Source: RNAcentral
GUGGAUGUAGCUCAGUGGUAGAGCUCCGGAUUGUGGCUCCGGUGGUCGUGGGUUCGAUCCCCAUCAUCCACCCCA